This 514-nucleotide ribosomal RNA is filed under the name Doratomyces sp. 6811-R1. Its description in RNAcentral is "eukaryotic LSU rRNA". It matches the Rfam family "Eukaryotic large subunit ribosomal RNA", at positions 86 to 606 of the family's 3401-position model. Lineage: Eukaryota; Fungi; Ascomycota; Sordariomycetes; Microascales; Microascaceae. The record is from RNAcentral.
ACGGCGAGUGAAGCGGCAACAGCUCAAAUUUGAAAUCUGGUCCCCUUUGGGGGCCCGAGUUGUAAUUUGAAGAGGAUGCUUUUGGCGAGGCGCCUUCCGAGUGCCCUGGAACGGGACGCCACAGAGGGUGAGAGCCCCGUAUGGUCGGACGCCGAGCCUAUGUAAAGCUCCUUCUACGAGUCGAGUAGUUUGGGAAUGCUGCUCAAAAUGGGAGGUAAACCCCUUCUAAAGCUAAAUACCGGCCAGAGACCGAUAGCGCACAAGUAGAGUGAUCGAAAGAUGAAAAGCACUUUGAAAAGAGAGUUAAACAGCACGUGAAAUUGUUGAAAGGGAAGCGCUUGCGACCAGACUUGCGCCCGUCGGAUCAACCGUCCCUCGUGGGCGGCGCACUCCGGCGGGCUCAGGCCAGCAUCAGUUUUCCGGGGGGGAGAAAGUCGGUCGGAAUGUGGCUCUUCGGAGUGUUAUAGCCUUCCGAGUAAUACCCCCUGGGGGACUGAGGACCGCGCUUUAUGCA